AUUACUUUGACAGAUUAAUGUUUUAAAUUUAGAAUUUAAUUAUGUAUAAUAUAUAUAUAAAAAAUUAUACAAGUAAUU
RNAcentral lists this transfer RNA (78 nucleotides) under Protapanteles sp. 2 SNS-2016. Its description in RNAcentral is "tRNA-Leu". Lineage: Eukaryota; Metazoa; Arthropoda; Insecta; Hymenoptera; Braconidae. The record is from RNAcentral.